AUAGCUCCUACCAAGAGCGAACAAUUACUUCUUUAGGAUUUUAAAUGACUGUGCAAGUAUGCAAAGAACCCUAAAGAAAGAAAUAGCAUCUCAUUUUCCAUCCAGUCCUUGCUCAGUAUGUUUGCUGGGCGGCUGUGACAGGCCCUGGGUGUGGAGUCAGCUGCAAGUGCAGAGCUCCCUCUGGGAUGUGAGGUGCUGUUGUCCACGGCCCCGCAGCCCCGGGCUCAAGUCUCAGUGUCCUCACAAAGGGGUUUGUGUCCUCACCGCAACCCACAUGCGACCCACAGCCCAGCCUCGCCUCUCCCUCAACAGCCUGCACCUCCCUGUCCCUCAGCACCUGCUGAGACAUCUGCAAGGGGCCUGUCUGGCCCCGCUGGCCUCUCCCUAUGGAUACCUUAACCGAGAAGGGAAAGACCUCCCACUCAGCCUCCUCACUUUGCAAGCACUGCAGGGUGGUCCAAGGAUGACACGAGGGCACCCAGGUGACAUGCCUGACCCAGUCAGUCCUAAAUAAACGAGAGCUACUCUUCCACAGCCAUCAUCACCACCACCAACCUUUCCUCACUUUCUGGAUUCAACUACCUCCCAAACGCUCUCAAACCUCUCAACCCCACUUCAGACAUGGAGUGCCCCCCUCCUGAAGCUCCUUCGCUCUGCCCUCUUACCACGCGUCCUGACUGCAGCCUCUUCCGUGGCUUCCUGAGCUCAGCUCCAACAUUCUUUAACCUACCUUCCCCAGCAGUGCUAUUUCCGAAGACAAACACCUCCUCAUUCUAGUACGUUGCUUUUAGUGACCAUCCGUGCCUCGCCACUGCUUACCAAUCAAAGCAUCCACUCCUUAGAUGGAGACAAGGCUCUGCACAGCCCGGCCUACGGCUGCUCCUCGUGGCACAGCACAGGGCUCCGGAGAGCUGCCCAUCUGCAGCAGGAGCUACAGUUCUCUAAACAGACAGUGACUCCCACAUUCCCACUGAGAAUUUGUGUAUUCAUUUGGCAAAAACUCAUGAAAAUGCAUCACUACUCAUUGAGCUUGGGAGUCCAAAUCCUGCUGUAACCUGCAGGCUGCAAAACUUCAUAGAGUGGAUUUAAGCUCUCCAAGCCUCAGUUUAUUCACCUGUAAAAUACGGAAUACAUCUCAUAUGUUGCAUGGAUAAAAAUGAAUAAGACAAUGCACAAAGUGCCCCAAACACAAGGAGGGUGAGGAUUCCUUUCCUAAAGAAUCCCACAGCAUAACAGGGAGAGAGGCUGCAAGAGAUCAUGCUACUGAGAGGCACUAAUGCAGGGUCCAUGUGGUGCAGUCACAGGAGACUGCAGAGAGGGGGCAGGGACUGCUCCCAGGAGUGGUGGCAUCUGACCUGUGACUUGAAGCAUAUGAAUUUACUAGUGGUUUCCACAAGAGAAGCGCUCCAGGAAGAGGGAACUGUAUGUGGCUCGCACAUGGGUCUGGGAGCAAAGACAAAUGCCUGUGAAUGGAAGAGACACACACAAGAGAAGGGCUGGAGAGGGAGGAGGGGGUGAGGAGCUCUCUAGGUCCCAUCAAGAGAGCACAGUGAAGCAGAGAGCCUCCUGUCCACCAAGAGGGCAUGCAGAGCCAGGCUCAGGAGUCCCGGCUUCAUUCUGGAUGGGCCCUGUCCAGGUAACAGAGUUAACUGAGGCAUUAUUCUAAGGACAGAGUGGUGGGGGUCAAAUGUGGGGGAAAGAACUGGGAUCAAGGUCUACGUGAAGGAUGAUGUGGCAGCAGGCAUCAAGACAGAAAGGAAGAGGCAAAUGCAUGAAAUCUUCAGAAGUCUAGAAAAGAGCAUCAACUGGACUUGGGAACUGAAUGUGGAGGCUCCGGAUCCAAGACCUCGAAGAGCAGCUCAGGCUGACUGCCUUGCUCAGGGAGGCUGGCCCUCAACAAGAAACAGGAAUUAAGAAAGUAGACAGCUUUGGGAGAAGGGGAGAACACACAGAUGAAAUUAAUAUGCCCCCAAAUUGGAAGCUUUGGAAAAGGGAGGAAUGAAUGCAGCCAGAGAGUAAGAGUGCCGUCACGUCAAAGAGAUUCACAGCAGACUCGGCUAUGUGCCUGCAUCCAGAUAAUCAAGAACUCCUGCCAGUUCAACCUCCUAAGUUCCACAGCCACUGGCCUUCCAUGCUUCGUAGGGAGGAGGCAUAGGUAACUGUGUUUUACCUGUAUUGAUUCCUAAUUUUCAAACCUUCUUAGACCAAUGACAGACUUGAUUUUUCUGAGCCUCGGGAACAGCAUCUGUAGAGUGCCAUGGUCAUUGUGUGGAUUAGGAAUGAUGCAUAACAGAAGGUGACUGAGAGUUACAGUGGAGCAAGUAAUCAAUGACAGGAAAUGAUCACUGAUCUGAAGAGUUAGAGGGUUUAUGGCAAAUGAAGAGCCUGAGCUAUAGUGGAGAGGGCUCAGGGAGAGGAGCAUAUCCGUGCAGGAUUCAGUGGAGAGAGCUCAGGGAGAGGAGCGUAUCCGUGCAGGAUUCAGUGGAGAGAGCUCAGGGAGAGAAGCGUAUCCGUGCAGGAUUCAGUGGAGAGAGCUCAGGGACAGGAGCGUAUCCGUGCAGGAUUCAGUGGAGACAGCUCAGGGAGAGAAGCGUAUCCGUGCAGGAUUCAGUGGAGAGAGCUCAGGGACAGGAGCGUAUCCGUGCAGGAUUCAGGGAAGGCUCCGGAGUGCAGAUGUGCACCAGGCACAUCAUACAUACAUGCAUACGGUGCAUCAGGCAUGCACAGACACACAGCUUACACAUGCUGUGCCGCUGGAACAAAGGC
This 2766-nucleotide long non-coding RNA is filed under the name Homo sapiens (human). RNAcentral describes it as "HSALNT0395409". Lineage: Eukaryota; Metazoa; Chordata; Mammalia; Primates; Hominidae. The record is from RNAcentral.